This is a long non-coding RNA of Pongo pygmaeus (Bornean orangutan), 5061 nucleotides long. RefSeq lists it as uncharacterized. The transcript has 6 exons. The record is from RefSeq and is a predicted model, not a curated record. Lineage: Eukaryota; Metazoa; Chordata; Mammalia; Primates; Hominidae.
AGGGUGGGGGUGCCCCUCCCUGCCUUCCCUUGUCACACCCUGCUCCCCGCAUAACCUGGCUGAACAGGUCUCACCUAGGAAGUUCUGGUAACAGUUACGGGUCUGGUUCUGGUUGGGGAAGCGCGGGUCGAAGGGCGGCGUCGACCAUUUCCCCUUGGGGGGCUCCUGGGCUUCCACAUCCAACAUCCACGAAGGAGGCAACUGCUGCGGGACGGGACGGGGACUCCGUGGGGCCGAGGGGGUGCCCUCGCUCCCACCCGUCCCCCCAUCCUGACCCCCGCCACUGAACCCCACCCGUCGUGCCCUCACCAGCCUGACGUUGGCGGCCACUGAAUCUGCUGUGGGAUGGUCCCCGGGUGCCGCUCGCUUCUGAGUCCGCGGGGUGCGGUCCCACCCGGCUCAGGAGAAACGCAGCCCGCGGCCGGAUUGGCUAGGACGCCCGAGCCCCAGCCAAUGGGAGCCGUCGUGCACCGCGGGGCUGGUAGGGGCGCCCCCACCCCACCCCUUGCUCCCCCGACGCCCCCUCGGGGGCCUGCGCGCGCACACAGGCACCGAGGUGCGACUCGCCGAGUCUCAGGGUGCCCACUCUUGCCCCCUCUACAUCCUCCACGCCCCAGCCAGAGGCAGCCUCUUCACACAUAAAUCAGUCUCCAACAUUCUUCUGCUCCAAACCCUCCAGCUUGCUCAGAGUCAAAGCCAAAGUCCCGAAAAUUGUCUGCCAAGUCCUCCAUGAUGGGUGCCCCCCCUGCUGCGCCUCUGACUGCAUUUCCCACCCCGGCAUCCCCGUGGUCCAGCACAUGACAAACACUCCUGCCUCGGGGACUGCAGUGGCUGUUCCUUCCGCUGGGAUGCUUUCCCCCCAGAUGUCCUCAUGGCUUCCUCCGUCCUCUCCUCCAGGUCUUCACACAAACAACCCCAGCUCAAUGAGGGCUCCCUAGACCACCUGGGCUGUGGUGGGGGCUGUCCUGUGCACUGUGGGAUGCUGAGCAGCGUCCCUGAUCUCUACCUGCUCGAAGCCAGGAGCACAUCCCACCACCACCAGCCCCACGGUCGGACACUGUAUCCCCACUGCCUAGAACAAUGCCUGGCACAGAGUCGGCGCUCACUAUAUAUCAGAGUGAAAGGGGGCCGGGCGUGGUGGCUCACACCUGUAAUCCCAGCACUUUGGGAGGCCGAGGCGGGCAGAUCACUUGAGGUCAGGAGUUCAAGACCAGCCUGGCCAACAUGGUGAAACCCUGUUUCUACUAAAAAUACAAAAAAUUAGCUGGGCAUGGUGGCACACGCCUGUAAUCCCAGCCACUCAGGAUGCUGAGGCAGGAGAAUUGCUUGAACCCAGGAGGCGGAGGUUGCAGUGAGCCAAGAUCAUACCACCACACUCCAGCCUGGGUGACAGAGUGAGACCCUGUCAAAAAAAAAAAAAGUGAAAGGAAAGAAUGAUCAACUUUAUCUCCUAAACAGCAGAGCCCACAGUAAAUGCUAGCUGCUAACCCCCACUACCUGGGCGGAAGGUUAAAGACGCCCGAUUCCUCCUGUAUUUCCUCUGCUUUGGUGGCCGUGUUCCUCACAGUUUCAAGUUCUAAGAGCAUGGGCAAAAGAAUUUCUGAAGACGACCCCACAGUGGCCAGGGGUUGCUGGGCUGGCAUCCUCACAGGCUCCUGCGACACUCUCUUGGGCUGCUGGGACGCCCUGGCUGUGGCCUCCAUCUUUGAGAUGGGGGUCUCCGAGAGGGGCGAUGGCAGUGUACGACUCUGGCUGCUCUCUGACCACCACUGGCCUCCCCUCCAGUGAGGACAGCUGGCCUGGGCGGGAGGGCAUGGAAGCUAUCAUUGAAGUGGCAGACGCCUGCGAAGUCGCCAACAGCCAGGAGGGAAGUGAGACCAAAGCGGGUUUCGAGCGCUGCUCUUUGGAGUUGGCCAUGAUCGUGAGCUUGGCGAGGGUGAGCGCUUCCACAGAGAAGGGCCUGCUGUGCUCCCGGGAGGGGCCCUCGACGGCCAGCUCCUUCGUCUUGACCCAUCUCUUCCGCUGCUGCAACUCCUUGGAUCUCACACCAGGCAGGUCCAGGGACCUCUCUUCAAGCUUCGCCCAGUGGGCCCAGUCCUCCAACUUCCCCUGGCCCCUGAAGGCCUCCAGGGUCACCUCCUCGGUUUGGCUAAUCAGGAUGUCCUUGGACUCCUUCUUGGUCACGCUGAAGGGCGACUCCGGGGACUUAGCCUGAGUUGUCAUCUCCACCACGUCUGUCUCCUGGGUGUGCACGGUCACCGCCGGCUCCAGUUUCCCUCCAGACUGGCUUCUCUCCAGCACGGCUCUUCCAGGAAUUCCUGUUGGCAACACGUCAAAAUUGCCAGGGAGCUUCCCCCGUGAGGCAGGCGGGCCCAGCGCCAUCUGGUAUUGGGUAUGCCUGGGGCCUUCCGGGAUGGAGCUGAUGCAGCUGAGGCCUUCCGGGAUGGAGCAGGUACAGCUGGGGCCUUCCGGGAUGGAGCAGGUACGGCUGGGGCCUUCCGGGAUGGAGCAGGUACGGCUGGGGCCUUCCGGGAUGGAGCAGGUAUGGCUGGGGCCUUCCGGGAUGGAGCAGGUAUGGCUGGGGCCUUCUGGGAUGGAGCAGGUAUGGCUGGGGUCUUCUGGGAUGGAGCAGGUACAGCUGGGAGCUUCUGGGACUGGUCAACGAGGAAUGGUGCCUUACAAGAUGUGACAGGGCCAGAUGGGGCCUUCUGGCAGGGUGGUGGCCCCGGCCCCUGGUGGGAGCCCAUAGGCCCGGCCUUUUCCCUGCCCCUGGGGAUGGAAGAGUAGGGUGUGGAGAGGCAGGCAGCUGGGGGAUAGGGAGCCAGGCCGGAGGCAGCAGACGACAAAGUGCUGCCCUCAGAGUCCACAAGGUCUUCCAUGUCCUGAUGCCACAGGCAUGGGUCCAGGGAGCUGCAGGAGCCCAGGAAGAAGCAAUCAGGGCUGUCAGCUGAGACAUAGUGUGACGGGCUCUCAACCACAUGUCCCUGGCCUGUGGCCUCAUCAGAUGCAGAUGUGCAGGCCUGUUUCUUCCUGACGUCGGCAUGCUCCAGCUGUGACCAGAUGAGGGACACGGAGUCGCCCACAGCCUGAGACCUGAAACUGCGCUUGAGCGCCUGGAGUGGCCACCGUCUUAUAAGGAAAGUUGUGCUCAGCAGCCCUGACUGGGAAGAGAGGAGACAUCCUGGGUCACGGACCCCAGGGGAGGGCACGAGGACCUACCCCAGGAGCUUGUGGAGGGCCCCACCAAGGAAGGGGGAAGAGCCAAAGGGUGCAGCUCUGUCCCUGCGAGGGGGAGAACCCAGAGGUCCUGAAGAACAGCAGGGCCUGCUCACCUGCAUGUCUGCUGAUGGGCUGGUCCUGCAGAGAUAGAGGGAGGCAGGAGGGGCCCGGGCUUCCACAUCUCCAUCACCUACCCAGUCAGAGGCCUAGGCCCCCUCCUGCUCCCAGGACCUGACGAUCCAGCUCCUCCUCCCUCAGACCCAGGAGUCCAGGCCCCCAGCCCCUCCUCCCUCAGACCCAGGAGUCCAGAGCCCCAGCCUCUCCUCCCUUGACUCAGGGGUCCAGGCCUCAGUCCCUCCUCCCUCAGACCCAGGAGUCCCCCAGCCCCUCCUCCCUCAGACCCAGGAGUCCCCCAGCCCCUCCUCCCUCAGACCCAGGAGUUCAGACUGCCAGCCCUCUACCCUCAGACCCAGAAGUCCAGGGCCCCUAGCUCCUUCUCCCUCAGACCCAGGAGUCCAGAUCCCCAGCCCCUCCUCCCUCAGACCCAGGAGUCCAAGGCCCCAGGCCUUCCUCCCUCGACUCAGGGGUCCAGGCCCCCAGCCCCUCCUCCCUCGACUCAGGAGUCCAGGCCCCAGCCCCUCCUCCCUCAGACCCAGGAGUCCAGGCCCCCAGCCUCUCCUCCCUCAGACCCUGGAGCCCAGGCCCCCAGCUCCUCCUCCCUCAGACCCAGGAGUCCAGGCCCCCAGCCCCUCCUCCCUCGGACCCAGGAGUCCAGGCCCUCAGCUCCUCCUCCCUCAGACCCGGGAGUCCAGGCCCCCAGCUCCUCCUCCCUCGACUCAGGGGUCCAGGCCCCCAGCUCCUCCUCCCUCAGACCCGGGAGUCCAGGCCCCCAGCUCCUCCUCCCUCGACUCAGGGGUCCAGGCCCCCACCUCCUCCUCCCUCGACUCAGGGGUCCAGGCCCCCAGCCCCUCCUCCCUCGACUCAGGAGUCCAGGCCCCCAGCUCCUCCUCCCUCAGACCCAGGAGUCCAGGCCCCCAGCUCCUCCUCCCUCAGACCCAGGAGUCCAGGCCCCCAGCUCCUCCUCCCUCAGACCCAGGGGUCCAGGCCCCCAGCUCCUCCUCCCUCAACUCAGGGGUCCAGGCCCCCAGCUCCUCCUCCCUCGACUCAGGGGUCCAGGCCCCCAGCUCCUCCUCCCUCGACUCAGGGGUCCAGGCCCCCAGCUCCUCCUCCCUCGACUCAGGGGUCCAGGACCCCGGCCUAGACUUUGGGCUCUUGGUCCCAGUCCCCUCUGGAUCUGGCCGGAGGGUUCCCGGGACCUGCCAUGCCCUGGUCUGUGGAGCUGGCAUCCCACCUGCAGGUGCCAGGUGGAGGCAGGCGCUUCGGCCAGCGGCACAUCCAGGGGGGCCGUGCGCAUGGUCCUGGGGGUCCAGGUGGCAGCUGGCUCCUCAAGCAGGUUGAUGAGGCGGACCCAGCAGUGGAACAGGAAGCCCACCUCCUUGUCGGGGGCAUCCAGGGCCAGGUAGUACUGACGGCCCGAGACCAGGCGCAGCUUCAGGCGCCAGGCAGAGAGGUCAUGGACGCAGAGGUGGACGAGGUCCAGGGGGAGCAUCCUGGGAGAGGGGGAGGGGAGCGUCUAGAGCAGGAGGGGUGGAGGGGGCGGCCGAGGGGUUGGGGGAUGCGGCACCUGGUCAGCACGAGGCCUGAGCAGUCCCUGUCCUCGGCGGGCUGGCCGAUCAGCAAGAUGUCAGGCAACACCAGGCCUGGCAGGGAGGCGGCCACGCCCAUGGCCAGCCGGUUGGUUCUGUGAUUCACGAACACCGGGCCCCCUUGAUGGGUCACCUG